Molecule: ribosomal RNA, 1065 nt
Filed under: human gut metagenome
Description: bacterial LSU rRNA
Rfam family: Bacterial large subunit ribosomal RNA
Source: RNAcentral
UGCCGGAAUGAGUAGCGAGAAUUAUGUGAGAAUCAUAAUGGUCGAAAAUCUAAGGUUUCUUGAGGAAGGUUCGUCCGCUCAAGGUAAGCCGGGAGCUAAGGCGAGGCCGAGAGGCGUAGUCGAUGCACAUACGGUAAAGAUUCCGUAGCCACCGAAGUCGUUAAAUACAGGGACACAGGAACAUAGCCUAACCCCACCGUUGGUUGAGUGGGGCGUAAGGGAGCGAAAAUUAGUAGCGAAGUAGGUGAUUGUACACUGGCGAGAAAAGCUGUAUGAAUUGACAAGGUGCCCGUACCGCAAACCGACACAGGUAGAUGAGGAGAGAAUCCUAAGACCAGCGGGAGAAGUGUUGUUAAGGAACUCGGCAAAAUGACCCCGUAACUUCGGGAUAAGGGGAGCCUACGCGAGUAGGCCGCAGAGAAUAGUCUCAAGCGACUGUUUAGCAAAAACACAGGUCUAUGCUAAAUCGAAAGAUGAUGUAUAUGGGCUGACGCCUGCCCGGUGCUGGAAGGUUAAGGGGAAGUGUUAGAGCAAUCGAAGCACUGAACUUAAGCCCCAGUAAACGGCGGCCGUAACUAUAACGGUCCUAAGGUAGCGAAAUUCCUUGUCAGGUAAGUUCUGACCCGCACGAAUGGCGUAACGACUUGAGAGCUGUCUCAACAACAUACCCGGCGAAAUUGAAGUACUGGUAAAGAUGCCAGUUACCCGUGAUAAGACGGAAAGACCCCAUGGAGCUUUACUGUAACUUGAUAUUGAAUUUUUGUAUUACAUGUACAGGAUAGGUGGGAGACAGAGAACUAAUGCCGCCAGGUGUUAGGGAGUCGAUGUUGGGAUACCACUCUUGUAAUAUGAAGGUUCUAACCUGCACCCGUGAAUCCGGGUGGGGGACACUGUCAGGUGGACAGUUUGACUGGGGCGGUCGCCUCCUAAAAGGUAACGGAGGCGUUCAAAGGUUGGUUCAGCACGGACGGAAAUCGUGCAACGAGUGCAAACGCAUAAACCAGCCUAACUGCGAGACCGACAAGUCGAGCAGUAACGAAAGUUGGAGUUAGUGAUCCGGCGGUA